RNAcentral lists this long non-coding RNA (10207 nucleotides) under Physcomitrium patens. RNAcentral describes it as "long non-coding RNA (PPAT_LNC014447)". Lineage: Eukaryota; Viridiplantae; Streptophyta; Bryopsida; Funariales; Funariaceae. The record is from RNAcentral.
UGAAGUCUUGCUUGAAAAUACUCUAGGCACUUGAAUAUGGAAGAUAGAAUGGAAAUUGUAAUAACAAAAUCUUUAAUUCUAAUAGAACACUAAUAAUGUUAAACAAGCUUUAAUCAAUUUUAGAAAAACCCCAAUAGAUUUCCAAAGAAACAAUAAGAAAUCUUAAAGAAAUAUUAGAAUGAUUACAAACAUAUCUCAAGUACAUCUCAAUUCAAUCUUAAUUUAAUCCUAGUUGAAAUCUUACUUCAUUCAAACUUUAGGCCAAAAACUAAGUAAUCUUAAAUCCUAAAUAAACUCAAAUAAAAUUCUAAAUCCUAAAUCAAACCUUAAUCAAAUCCUAAAUCCUAAAUCAAACUCUAAAUCUUAAACUAAAUCUUAAUCCUAAAUAAAAUCAUAAUCAAAUCCUAAAUCUUAACUCUAAAUCAAAUCCUAAACCCUAAUCUUAAAUCAAAUCCUAACCAAAUCCUAACUCUAAUUCUAUACCCUAAUCCUAAAUCAAAUCCUAAUCAAAUCCUAAACCCUAAACUAAAUCCUAACCAAAUCCUAAUCCUAAAUCAAACCCUAACUAAAUCUUAAACCUAAAUCAAAUUCUAACCAAAUCUUAAAUCCUAAACCAAAUCUUAAUCCUAAAUCAAAUCCUAACCAAAUCCUAAUCCUAAAUCAAAUCCUAACCAAAUCCUAAUCCUUAUACUAAAUAAAAUCCUAACCAAAUCUUAACCCUAAUCCUAAAAUUUAAUCCAAAUCCUAAUCCUAAUCCUAAACCUUAAACCAAAUCUUAACCAAAUUCUAAUCCUAAAUCAAAUCCUAAUCUUAAAUCAAAUGCUAAUCAAAUCCUAAAUCCUAAAUUCUAAUCCUAAAUCAAAUCCUAACCAAAUCCUAACUCUAAUCCUAAAUCCUAAACUAAAUCCUAAUCAAAUCUUAACCCUAAUCAAACCCUGACCAAAUCCUAAAUCCUAAACCAAACCCUAGUAAUUUUCUACAAUAGAAUUAAACCUCAAUAACUAAUAAAUUAAUUAUUGAUCUUAAUUCAAAUUUUUCACACUUCUUAAAGACUAAGUUAAAAACAAGCACAAAAUUUUUGAAAAGGAUCGAAAUUACAGAACAGACAAUAACUUCAAAAAUGUGCUCAAGUAUUGGCCGGCUUGCUUCUUCAACCUUGAUGCAAAUGUUCCAGAGCCAAUAUCUCUCCUUUUCACCAUUCGAUUGAUCUCAAAAUUCUCAAACACAUAGAAAUAUAAGUCUAAUAUACUCUCACAUAAAUUUCACUCCAAUCCAAUUAGUAGAUUGUAAGAAAUCUUAAAAACCCUCACUGGACCUAAAAUUCUACUUUCUGAGAUCGUGACUCACUUAAACCUCAAUAAUCCUUAAUUCAACCGUUAGAUCGAGCUAAGAUUCAGAAUACAUAUUAAGCACAACUAUGACCAUUAACCCACAAAAUUUCACCUAUAGAUCUAUUACAAAACUCUUGAAAUCACAAGAAACAUCAAUCCUAUUUUAUUUCACAAACCCCAAGUCGUCCAAAAACAAUCUUGACUUUGUAAAGCUCUUACAGAGUAAUAAAAAUUCUAAAUUGCCGAAAACCAAUGCCUAUAAAAACCUUAUCCAAUCUCCUAUCAAAUUCCACUCUCUGAUUUGCAAAAGAAUCUCUAAGUUGCCGUAGGUACUUAGUUUUGUGCCUCAGGGUCUGAUUUCAACCCAUGUUGAUAAUUGGCCCUCCUCAAGUAUCAAUAUUUUUUUUUUUUAAGUAAUUUUUGAUAGAAUUUACUCUUAAUUUCUUCCUAAAGAUGUCUAUAUCAUUAAUUUUUCCAAACUACCUUAUUUUGCUUAAUUUUUAGUUCUACAAAGUAAGUAGAAGCUAUUUUUUCUAAAAAGACAGCAUUACUAUUAAAAGUUUUACUACAUUCCUAUCUUUCAUCCAUAUUUUUCUAUUUUUCUUUUAACUUGGCUCUUUUGAAAUAAGAUCCAUAUUAUUAUCUUUUACCAUAUGGUCAUGUUACAAUAUGACACCAUAGUGUUCCAUUUUUCUUCAGUACUAUAAACCAAUAACUGGAAUAUGGUACAAAUGAUGGCUCUAGGAUCUUCAUUUGCAUCCUUUUUAUUUAAAGCUCUAUAAGUUUAGAUAGAUACACUUUAGGCACCAAAAUUGGUCUUAAAUUCCAAAAAACAUGCAAAAUUAUAAAUAUAAUCAUUGGUGCUAAACCACUUGGAUCGACACAUUCAAUUUCUGAAGGUUUAAAAUCAAAAGUCUUUCCAUGUGUACUUAACAUAUUUCUAAAUUCUAUUUCUUCAAGGGGUAAUAGAAAAUUUGUAGAUCCUACUUUGAACUCAUUGAGUAUAUUCUUGGUAAACUUGUGGCUAAUUUGUUUAGGAUCCCAUAAGUCCUUCUCCUUCAAAACUUGUUGAACUUGAUGAUUGAAAUCACUAGGUAAUUGUAUAGCUACAGGUUUUAUUUUCCUCUCCAUACAUUUGUAUCUAGUUUCAACUUUGACUUCAUAAUCUUAAAAUGCUUAUAUAGUUGAGUAGAGCUCUCUUGAAUGUACUUGCACCACUUGAUCUUCAUUUCCUUCUUCAACUUCUAAAAGUUCUUCUAUAAAAUCUUCUAAAUCAGUCUCCAUAUAUAUACCUACUAUCUUAUCAUCUCCAUCAAGCACAUCUACUCUUAUUAAGUCUUUUUCUGUUCUUUGCAUAAUUUUUUUCUCCCACUUUGGUAGAUCAUUAAGUUGUGUAUAGAUAGCAAAUUCAUUUUUACAUAAUUCUAUAAUAUUUGUACAAAAGGUACUUUUUUUUUCAUGUAAGAGUACUUUCUUUGAUGCACCACUAUAUUCCUGCUCUAUAGUGGUACCUUGUAAAAAUUCGUAAACUCUUCACUAACCCUUGGUAAUAAAUCACUUCAUAAAUAAUCAUGAUUGUAUUCAUGAUUUACAAAUACUAUUAGAAAUUAUACUAUUUUUUUUCCAUCUUCACUUCUAAUAUGGGCAUAUGUUGAUUUGUCAUCCAAAACCUUGGUGUCCAUCCUCAUAGCUGUAAUAUAUGGUUGACCAAGAAUCACUGGGUAUGAAGUAGUGUCUUGAACAAAAAAAAAUUGUUCUAUGGUCACAUCUCCAACUUUUAUCUUCACAUUGGAAGAAGUACCAUAAAAAUCUCCUUGUGUAUUAUUUGCUACCCAAAUCAUCCAACCAUGGUUAAUAUCAAUGGGCCACCUUCCAUGUUUGUAGACUUCUUUUCACAUAAUAUUAAUUUCAGAUCUAUGGUCAAUGAAAGUAAUUACUAGUUCUACCAAGUCUUCCAUUUUUACUAAAGUCUCUAUGGUGGCUCUAGCCCAAUGUCCUUUGGUAUAGUGUCCAGGGCCCUUGUCAUCAUCUUUGUAUUCAUCCAAAUCAAAUUGUCUCUUUUUAUUGAUACAACAUUCUACCAAUUCAUAUUCCUCUUCUUCAAUCAAGUUUGUAUCCAAAGUCAUCCCAUCUUGUGGCAUUUCUAAUUAUUGUGGCUGUAUUAAGUAAUUCCUGCCUUAUUGUUUUUUUUUUAUUCAUGCUGAUAAUAGCAUGAUUCCAUAGAUCCCAUGUAUUUACAUACUUGUCAAAAACAUCCUCUUUCUUUCUUACAGCUUCAAUGUCAUAAGUAAUAGCCUCUCUUGAUGCCAUAUUCUAUUGAGAUAAAUGCUCUUUCAAAACCUUCUUCAUCCCUCCUUUUCCAAAAUUGAUUUUGAAAAACUUAUUUGUAUCUCGCAACGCAAUUUUUCCAUCUUUCCAUAAAAUUACUCCUUGUCAUAGAAUAUCAACAAAAUCUCCAUAUUCCCUUCAAGGAUGCUCCAUACUAUCGCACCAAAUACAUCUUUGUAUAUAUCCUGGCUUUGAUAUGAAAAUUUCCUCUCAAGUAAUCCUUCUUUCUCCUCUAGCUUUGUAAGUUUGAUUUGUAAGUCUUUCAUUCUUUUUACCAACUCAUCAAUUGCAUCUUUCUGUGGUGCAACUAUAGAUAUAGGAAUUAGAAUAGUACUUACAAGUAUAGCACAUUCUAGCAGUUAUCUACAAGGUAUUGUAGUUGAUAGAGGUCUAGUCUCUUGCCUUACUAUCACCUUACAUCUCCGGUAUUCUCUUUUAGCAAGUAUGCCCAUAGCUUCAGAGACUUUCUUCCAAUUAGUAGUAAGUCCAUUAUCCUCUGUAUUAUCCUGCAAUAGUAAUUCCAACUCCCUUUGUAAAUCAUUGCCAACUAAUUGAAGAAAUAACUCCACCUUAUCAUUUUUAAGUCUAAGCUUUUCCAUUCAAGACAAUUGAAGAAACUAUCUUUCAAAUUCUCAAAAUAACUCUAUUGCAACUAACCCCUUGUUGGAUUUAUUGAUCCAUUCUAUAAACAAUUUUCUUUUCACCAUUUCUACAUCUUUAAAAAAUAUUCUUCUUUUAGCUAAAGGAGAAAAUCCUCUCAUUUUUCUCUAUGAGUUUGAAUAAUCUCUUUCAUACGCUCACAAAGCUUUGGUACAAUUGCAAGCUCAAAUGUUAAGAUCAUAUCUUUCUCUAGCACUUUAUUGAGCUCUAUCCACUAAAAAUAAUACUUAAGAUACUUAAAAAUAUUUCAUCCAUCAAAUUAAUGCAAUAAACCAAUAACAGAUUGCAAGGCUUUAAAAGCCAUUGCUUCCUUGCAUUCCACUACUUGUUGUUGUUGCAUAAAAAGUGAAAAUGCUUGAAAUAUUUGAGUUGUAGCAGGAUCAAGUUGCAAUAGAGAUUCCCCAGUAGAAUUCCUACUACUACUUCUUUGUCUUCCUUCCAUAAUAGAACGCCAAAAAUAUUUCUUCAAAACUCUCUAUUCCAGAAAUUUUCAUGUCAAAUUCACAAGGUCUGUCAUAUAUCGUGAUUUGCUAUUUAAAAAUAUACUAGAUAUCUAGCUAUAGAUAUUUUAGCUUAAACCUUUAUAUGAAACUUUUCUUAGCUUCCAAAACUCCUUUAAUUUGCAUAAAACUCAAAAUAAAACAAAAUUCCUUCAAAUAUAUAUUUUUUCCAUGAAGGGUUUUCUCUUCCUAAACUUUAGAAAUUCAUAACUCUUGAUCUAGCCGUUCAAUUUGUCUAAAAUUUAUAGAAUAGGUAGAAUUCACUCUUAACUUUUACCACAAAAAAAAUCAAUUGAAAAUACACUCCCAAACUUUUGGCAUCUAAGAAAUCCUAGCAGAUGCUCUAAACCCUAAUUUACAAGCAUUUGAGCACUAUUUUCUUAAUAUCUCAAGAAUCCAAUAUUCAAAUCUCAUCAAACUUAUGUAUAAAGUUUACUAACAUGAAUUUACACAUUUCCUGAAAUUUUGAGCCAAAACCUUAUCAAAUUGCUCAAGAUAUAGCUCAAGACACAACCACUAGUAAAUUGGGUCACUUACUACCCUUAGAUUACAUGUGCUGACUUCAAAAUCCAAUAUCUCCUUCAUUCCAACUUAGAAUCCAGCAAGUAGUAUACAAAAAGUAUAGCUGCAAAAGUACUUUCUCUAGUCGCAGUUGCCGAUCCUCAAUUACCCUCCGUUUGCGUGCGUUAUGCCAAAAAGAGUGACAAUGGCUCCCAAAUCAACACCUUAACUUUGAGUGCCUAUAUCUCCUUCAUAUAAACUCCAAAUCAUACAAAAUUUGCACCAAAACCAUUGCCAAAAACUUAAACUUAUUGAACUUAGCCUUCAAAGCUUGAAUUGUCCCAAAAACUAACCCUAAUCUCUAAUAUGGUCACGGUAGCCUCCUCAAAGCCCAUUGGUCAUGAUUUUUGAUCAAUAGGAGUGGAGAUUUUCAUCAUCUAUCUCCAUUCAUCUAUAUUGGUGCCCUAAUUACUCCCUUUGCUACCAAAACCUUUCUUCAAUCUUUUUUCUUAUAAGAUUUAUAUAAUUUAUGCUCUAAACACCAAAUAUAAGAAUCAAAAUAGGUUUUCAAAGGUCACCAAUGUCUAACAAAGGUGACUCUAAAUAUUUAGAAGUUACUAUCAACCAAAACCAAUCUUGAAAGUCACUAUCAAAAUGAAAUUAAAGUUAUAAAAAUUCUAUAGUAAUCUUUUUAAACAACCUCUUCUCAAGGUAAUAAUCAAAUUAUAUUCUACAACCAACUAAAAUCUACUAAUAUGGCUCUCACCAUGUUAUUUGAUAAAUUAUAUAUUAAGUACAUAAUUAUAUUAUUUUCAUAUAGUUGUUGAAUCACAACACGACAUCCAUCCCUUCUAAACCCGUGCAUUGUCCGGUAUGCAUCAAGAAGAAUCAAAGUUGUGGUCGACGUUGUCGUACUGUAAUUACUUACAGUAUGUAAAAAUUAGUGAAAACAUGUAAUAUGUUUAUAAGUCUUAAUGUGAGUUAGAAUAGUUAGUAUGUUAAUUUAAAAUGAAUUGAAAUAAGAAAAAUUAUUUGGAAGUUAAUCUAGUUUGAUUAUAGAGUUUAUAUUAUAUAUGAUUUAGAUAGUUAGUAUAAAGAUUAAGGGAAGGGAGGAGUUAAAAGAUGAAAAUAUAACUAGAAGAAGGCAUAUUGGAAAGGAUGAAAGUAAGGCAUGGUUGGAUGAAGGCAAGGGGUGAAGAACUUCAUCCCUAUUAGUCGAAUACCAUGCCCAAUGGGCUUUGAGGAGGCUGCCCGAGGCCAUAUUAGGGAUUAGGGUUCCUCUUUCGAGGCCAUUCGAGCUUUUGACGCUAGGGUCAGAAGGUUUAGGGUUUUGGGUAUAAUUUGGAUGAAGAUUUUGUGUGAUUUCGAGUUUUUAUGGAAAAGAUAUGAAUGUUCAAAGAUAAGGUGUCAAUUUCGUACCUACUGUCACUUCUUUUGGGCAUCACCUAUGAAUACAGAGAGCAACGGAAGAUCGGCGACUGGACUUGGAGGGAGCAUUUUCUCGGCUACACAUUCUACUUACUGUAUAGUGAAUUCUAAGAUUGGGUGAAGGAGUUAUGAGGCGUUGAAGACAGCACUUGUAAUUUGAAGGCAGUAAGUAUAUCGUUUUGUUGCUAGUUAUGGGUGAAGUCAUAUCUUGAGUUUCUGGACGAAAUUUUGGCUCAAAAUUUCCACAAGUGUGUGUAAUUGGGUUAAGAAUCUUUAGAUCAAAGUUUCAUAGUAUUUGAAUAAUUACUUUGUGAGAUAUGAAGGAAGUUGUACAUGGGUGUAAAAAAGCUAGGGUUUGAAGCUACAGUUAGGGGUUUCAAGAUAUCACAAGAUCCAAGAUGAAUUUACGGUUGAAUUUUGGUGUGGUAGUUGCUAAAGAUAUAUCAGUACUCCAUGUAAAAUUUGGAGUUGUUUAGACGGUUAGAUCGUAAGUUAUGAGCUGUUGAACUUCGGGAAAAAUUCCUCAUAAGGAUAUAUAAGUUUUUUAUAACACCUUAUCAAGUAUUUUGGUGUUCUUUGGAUUUUAAGGCUUGUAUAUUGAUGUAAUUGCUCCAAAGGAGAGGAGUUUAUAUAUAUAAAAUUGUUACCCUUAUAUUUCAAACUUGAUUGAGUAUUUAGUGACAGCUAGAAGCCCAGCGCUUUCUUGAGGCAAACUCUCUCUACCCCGACAACGUCAUAUUACUUCCUCAAUAAUGUCUUUUUCAAAAUUCAAUUCUUCUUCCUCAUAUCUAGAUAGAUCAAACUCUUCUUAAACAUUUUUAAGGACUAUUUCUUGAUCCUGUUGUUUGAAAAGUUUUAUACGUUUUCUUAUAAUUGAAAUUUUGAAACUUGUUCCAUCUAAUUCUCUUAAUGCAUAUGUAGUAUUAUCCAAAACAUGCACAACUACAUAAGGUCCAAACCAACGCUUAGAGAACUUUUUAUGAGCACUAUGUUGGUUAUCCAAGCACUUGCCAUAUAUCAAAAUCCAAUCACCUUCUUAGAUAUCUUUUGGCCUCAACUUGUGUCGCUUAUCAAAUCUAUCUUUAUUCUUCAAGCUCGACUCCCUUAGCCUUAUUAUUAUUUUUUCCACAUCUUUAGGUCUUCUCUCUAGUUGAAAAAUUCAAAGUACAAGAAGUUCUUCUUUAGAUAUAUUUUCUUGCCAAGGCAAGAUACUCCAAGUGGGUAUUUGCUCUUCAAUUGGUAUAAUGGGCUUCUAUCCUUACAUUAACUCUGUCGGCAUAUAUCCUGUCCCUAGAAUAGAAGGUAGUACCUAUAUCUUUAAUAUCUUCAAUCAAAUCUUCUUCUUGUUCAUAUCUGUUACAAGAUUAUCCUUGCCUACUAUAUGCCUAAAUUCAGAAUUCAAAGAUUUAAUAUAUGCAAUCCAUCUUAGCAUAGCAAUAUCAAGGGUGUUACAGUUGGUAAUCAUUUCCAAUAGUAGCAAACAAUAUGUUUCUACUAUCACUGGUGCCCCAAUUAAAUAAUCUCUUCUAUUUUUCAUAGUUGUAACUAUUUUCCAUAGCUCUUGUUUCACUUGUAGAUAGUUUCUUUUUUGUUCAUUUAUUCUUUUAGCUCCAAAUCUAAUAGCAAACCUGUUACCUUCUUCAUCGUUUUGUCCUAAAGUCCAACCAACAGCUAUUGGACUAAUAUCAAUUGUAAGUAUCACUGAUUUGCCAUCUUCAUAACUUAUCCUUUGCAAUACAAGUGGAGAAGAUAAUAAUCGUUUUAGCUUUCGAAUUGUUUCUGUAUGCUUCUUCUUCCAUUUGAAUCUCUUUCUUUUUUGUAGCAAACUAUAAAGAGGAUCAGCUACAUGUGCAUAAUGAGGAAUCCAUACACAAUAAAAUAUGCAAGCUCCUAAAAUCCUCCAUACCUCUGUUUAUGAGCUACAAAUAUCCUUCAUCCGUUGUAUGGCAUCCACCUUAUUAGGAUCAGAUUUGCGACCAAACCAUCUACAUAAAUGCCCCACAAUAACAACUUUUCAAACUCCAAAGGUAGAUUUAGCUCCUGAUAGUGUCAAGUGAACCUCCUCAAGUCGAGAUAAAAUUUUGUCACAGUCUAAAAUAUAAUUAGAUACAAAUUUAUGGCACCCCUUCAGAUCCAUUGUCUAAUUUUUUUCUUCUUCCACACACCUUUUUAUUGGAAUAUCAUCCAAAAAGGGCAUAGUCUUUUGUGGAAUGAAAUCACGAAGAACCUUAUUCAUCCCAUUUAUGAAGUGAGCUACCGAGUUUGUUGCUACUUGUGGCAAUGUAUAUAUCUUAACCAAUUCUAAAGGUUUUCUCAUAAUAGUGAUAUCUUUGCUUCCUUCAGCUAGUUGAAAUUAAUCAUAUCCAAAAUAGAGAUCUCCAAUAGAGUAAAUAGCUCUAUCGACAAAUGCCUCAACAAAUUCUCUAACAAUUAAUCCAACUUCGGUAUUUUUAAUAGUUACUUGAUUCACUAGUUGCAUAUCUUGAAUGAACCAUUGUCGUAAUAUAUGAAGUCUUGCUUGAAAAUACUCUAGGCACUUGAAUAUGGAAGAUAGAAUGGAAAUUGUAAUAACAAAAUCUUUAAUUCUAAUAGAACACUAAUAAUGUUAAACAAGCUUUAAUCAAUUUUAGAAAAACCCCAAUAGAUUUCCAAAGAAACAAUAAGAAAUCUUAAAGAAAUAUUAGAAUGAUUACAAACAUAUCUCAAGUACAUCUCAAUUCAAUCUUAAUUUAAUCCUAGUUGAAAUCUUACUUCAUUCAAACUUUAGGCCAAAAACUAAGUAAUCUUAAAUCCUAAAUAAACUCAAAUAAAAUUCUAAAUCCUAAAUCAAACCUUAAUCAAAUCCUAAAUCCUAAAUCAAACUCUAAAUCUUAAACUAAAUCUUAAUCCUAAAUAAAAUCAUAAUCAAAUCUUAAAUCUUAACUCUAAAUCAAAUCCUAAACCCUAAUCUUAAAUCAAAUCCUAACCAAAUCCUAACUCUAAUUCUAUACCCUAAUCCUAAAUCAAAUCCUAAUCAAAUCCUAAACCCUAAACUAAAUCCUAACCAAAUCCUAAUCCUAAAUCAAACCCUAACUAAAUCUUAAACCUAAAUCAAAUUCUAACCAAAUCUUAAAUCCUAAACCAAAUCUUAAUCCUAAAUCAAAUCCUAACCAAAUCCUAAUCCUAAAUCAAAUCCUAACCAAAUCCUAAUCCUUAUACUAAAUAAAAUCCUAACCAAAUCUUAACCCUAAUCCUAAAAUUUAAUCCAAAUCCUAAUCCUAAUCCUAAACCUUAAACCAAAUCCUAACCAAAUUCUAAUCCUAAAUCAAAUCCUAAUCUUAAAUCAAAUGCUAAUCAAAUCCUAAAUCCUAAAUUCUAAUCCUAAAUCAAAUCCUAACCAAAUCCUAACUCUAAUCCUAAAUCCUAAACUAAAUCCUAAUCAAAUCUUAACCCUAAUCAAACCCUGACCAAAUCCUAAAU